GGCGCCGGCCCCGUCCGCCCCGCCCGCUGCACGCGCGCUCUCCCGCGCGGACCCGGAACUGGCGCUGCCCGGGGCCGGUCCAUCCCGGAGAGAGCGGCAGCGCGAGCCCGGGGCGGGGGGGAGGGGGAGGCAGUUGGAUCGCCGCGCGGCCUCCUGCAACGUGCGCGACCCGGAGCAAGUGGCUGCACCUGAGCCCGAUCUCUAAAAAUGGGACUCUCGGGCCACACGCCUCGCUGAGCAUCCCAGGCCCUUUUGGAGGCGCCGAAAGAAAGCAGAGGUGCACGGGACAGGAGGAUGCCCCCAGAGCUACCUGCUGCAGCAUAGCUGUGGGGACCACACAGAACAAGGCCCAGUCUGAGACAGCAUGGGAUGGGGGAGCCCCGUGGAGGAACAGAGAAAACAUUUGUGUUGCCAGAGGGAAGAAAGGAAGGACAGCACUGAGCCACCAAUCAAUGAAUCCUCCUUCUCUGGGAAAUAGCAAGACGGGGGACCGAGAGCAGCUGAGACGUUGGUGUGGUGGAUCUCCUGCCACAUGGAAACGUGAAGGCAGAAAAAAGAGGAUGUUCUCCACCAAUAGACACCUUGACAAAUGUGAGGACCUGGUCAAGGAUCCCCCCCCAGACACAACUUUUUGGCAAAGAUGACAAUUCUUUGAAUUGGAAAGCAGAACUUGAUUUUGAAGGAAAGUUUACCAUCAGGCAUAGCUGCAACGAUACCGAUAACCCUCGGGCCACAUUAGAGGUAGAUAAACGGAGAUUCAAAUACUGUCCCCAUUAUUGCUUGGAUCACCACAAUGACAUCACCUGUGUCCAACAGCAGACAAGACCUGUGUCACUAAAGGGCAGUGCAUUGAGGGGCGAUUAGCAUUAUGAAUUUCAAACCUGAUCCUUUAUAAGUUUCCUCUCUUGGUUAUGUGGCAGACUGGGUUUCUCUGGGCUCUGCACUCUCUCUGCUCCUUCCCAUUGUCAACCCUGGAAAGAGAUGAGAAGGUGGGUCUUUUUUUUUUUUUUUUUUUUUUUUUUUUUGGUAUCAAUAAANNNNNNNNNNNNNNNNNNNNNNNNNNNNNN
This 1067-nucleotide long non-coding RNA is filed under the name Vulpes vulpes (red fox). Its description in RNAcentral is "lncRNA (ENSVVUG00000029448.1)". Lineage: Eukaryota; Metazoa; Chordata; Mammalia; Carnivora; Canidae. The record is from RNAcentral.